GGAUGUGAGGGCAAUCUGGCUGGGACAUCUGUCACCCCAUGGAUCUCCAGGGUUGAUUCGGCUGAUCUGGCUGACUAGGCUGGUGUCCCCUUCCUCCCUCACCACUCCUUGUGUGUCCGUCCUGAAGCUGCACACUCUGUUGAAGAGGACGACCAUCCCAGAGAGAGGAGGACCAGUCUUUGUUCAAGGGUAUGUGAGUAGCUACACUCCCCUACUAGAACCUCCAAACAAGCUCUCAAUUAUAAACAAACAGCACCAAAACAUUUAGCAACAGUCUCUUUGUU
RNAcentral lists this small nuclear RNA (284 nucleotides) under Pongo abelii (Sumatran orangutan). It matches the Rfam family "7SK RNA", at positions 1 to 251 of the family's 331-position model. Rfam says of the family: 7SK was discovered as an abundant small nuclear RNA in the mid-70s but a possible function has only recently been suggested. Lineage: Eukaryota; Metazoa; Chordata; Mammalia; Primates; Hominidae. The record is from RNAcentral.